RNAcentral lists this ribosomal RNA (1943 nucleotides) under Salmonella enterica subsp. enterica serovar Typhimurium. RNAcentral's name for it is "partial 23S ribosomal RNA". It matches the Rfam family "Bacterial large subunit ribosomal RNA", at positions 1 to 1874 of the family's 2925-position model. The record is from RNAcentral. Lineage: Bacteria; Pseudomonadati; Pseudomonadota; Gammaproteobacteria; Enterobacterales; Enterobacteriaceae.
GGGUUGUGAGGUUAAGCGACUAAGCGUACACGGUGGAUGCCCUGGCAGUCAGAGGCGAUGAAGGACGUGCUAAUCUGCGAUAAGCGCCGGUAAGGUGAUAUGAACCGUUAUAACCGGCGAUUUCCGAAUGGGGAAACCCAGUGUGAUUCGUCACACUAUCAUUAACUGAAUCCAUAGGUUAAUGAGGCGAACCGGGGGAACUGAAACAUCUAAGUACCCCGAGGAAAAGAAAUCAACCGAGAUUCCCCCAGUAGCGGCGAGCGAACGGGGAGGAGCCCAGAGCCUGAAUCAGCAUGUGUGUUAGUGGAAGCGUCUGGAAAGGUGCGCGAUACAGGGUGACAGCCCCGUACACAAAAGCGCAUGUGCUGUGAGCUCGAUGAGUAGGGCGGGACACGUGGUAUCCUGUCUGAAUAUGGGGGGACCAUCCUCCAAGGCUAAAUACUCCUGACUGACCGAUAGUGAACCAGUACCGUGAGGGAAAGGCGAAAAGAACCCCGGCGAGGGGAGUGAAAAAGAACCUGAAACCGUGUACGUACAAGCAGUGGGAGCACCCUUCGGGGUGUGACUGCGUACCUUUUGUAUAAUGGGUCAGCGACUUAUAUUCUGUAGCAAGGUUAACCGUAUAGGGGAGCCGGAGGGAAACCGAGUCUUAACCGGGCGUUAAGUUGCAGGGUAUAGACCCGAAACCCGGUGAUCUAGCCAUGGGCAGGUUGAAGGUUGGGUAACACUAACUGGAGGACCGAACCGACUAAUGUUGAAAAAUUAGCGGAUGACCUGUGGCUGGGGGUGAAAGGCCAAUCAAACCGGGAGAUAGCUGGUUCUCCCCGAAAGCUAUUUAGGUAGCGCCUCGUGAAUUCAUCUCCGGGGGUAGAGCACUGUUUCGGCUAGGGGGCCAUCCCGGCUUACCAACCCGAUGCAAACUGCGAAUACCGGAGAAUGUUAUCACGGGAGACACACGGCGGGUGCUAACGUCCGUCGUGAAGAGGGAAACAACCCAGACCGCCAGCUAAGGUCCCAAAGUCAUGGUUAAGUGGGAAACGAUGUGGGAAGGCCCAGACAGCCAGGAUGUUGGCUUAGAAGCAGCCAUCAUUUAAAGAAAGCGUAAUAGCUCACUGGUCGAGUCGGCCUGCGCGGAAGAUGUAACGGGGCUAAACCAUGCACCGAAGCUGCGGCAGCGAACGUAUCACCCAAGACAACUUUACGGAGUUGACGAUUGACGGAGCGAAGCGACGUCAAAGCGUUCAUUAAAGUCGAGUUGGCUUAGGGAUACGUUCGUUGGGUAGGGGAGCGUUCUGUAAGCCUGUGAAGGUGUGUCGUGAGGCAUGCUGGAGGUAUCAGAAGUGCGAAUGCUGACAUAAGUAACGAUAAAGCGGGUGAAAAGCCCGCUCGCCGGAAGACCAAGGGUUCCUGUCCAACGUUAAUCGGGGCAGGGUGAGUCGACCCCUAAGGCGAGGCCGAAAGGCGUAGUCGAUGGGAAACGGGUUAAUAUUCCCGUACUUGGUGUUACUGCGAAGGGGGGACGGAGAAGGCUAUGUUGGCCGGGCGACGGUUGUCCCGGUUUAAGCGUGUAGGUGUGUGUUCCAGGUAAAUCCGGUUCACUUUAACACUGAGGCGUGACGACGAGGCACUACGGUGCUGAAGCAACAAAUGCCCUGCUUCCAGGAAAAGCCUCUAAGCAUCAGGUAACACGAAAUCGUACCCCAAACCGACACAGGUGGUCAGGUAGAGAAUACCAAGGCGCUUGAGAGAACUCGGGUGAAGGAACUAGGCAAAAUGGUGCCGUAACUUCGGGAGAAGGCACGCUGACACGUAGGUGAAGUGAUUUACUCAUGGAGCUGAAGUCAGUCGAAGAUACCAGCUGGCUGCAACUGUUUAUUAAAAACACAGCACUGUGCAAACACGAAAGUGGACGUAUACGGUGUGACGCCUGCCCGGUGCCGGAA